Mauremys reevesii (Reeves's turtle) is the source of this 534-nucleotide long non-coding RNA. RefSeq lists it as uncharacterized. Lineage: Eukaryota; Metazoa; Chordata; Testudines; Geoemydidae. The record is from RefSeq and is a predicted model, not a curated record. The transcript is spliced from 3 exons.
CCGCCACUACCUCAGGACCCGGAGCUCCAUGGCAGCAGGAGCCCCGGGCCCUCUAAUUCGCCCCUGAGCCCUGGGAUUCCCAGCUGCCUCUGCAGCUAGUAGCUCUGGGGUGAUUUAAAGGACCUGGGGCUCACAGCUGGAGCCUCAGGGCCUUUAAAUCAUAGAAGGCCCCGCCUCUUCCGAUUGAGGCUGUGCCUCUUCCGAUUGAGGCCACACACCCCGCUCAGGACUCCGGUGUACCAGGACAUCAAGGAAUAAAGUCAUGUGGGGUGACAUUUCUGAGAGUCUGUCUCUUUGUUAUGGCUAGUGCUCUAGCAGGCUGGAUAUUUCUGUCACAUUGGUGCUUAGUAGACAGAGUAGAGAGAAUGAGAUGGUUCAUUACAAGUGAAUUGGAUCUCUGCAACAGUGAAGAACGGUAAUGAAAAUUCUCCUCCUGUGCCAGAGAGAUUCUGCCAAGAUGAAAACAAAUUCAGAUUAACAGUAACUUUAACAUGGUCAAUAUUGGAACAGUUUCAUAACAUGGUAUGUGUUCAG